This is a long non-coding RNA of Portunus trituberculatus (swimming crab), 1039 nucleotides long. RefSeq lists it as uncharacterized. NCBI's taxonomy places the organism in Eukaryota, Metazoa, Arthropoda, Malacostraca, Decapoda, Portunidae. The record is from RefSeq and is a predicted model, not a curated record. The transcript has 4 exons.
GUGAGGAUAACAAGCAGUUAGCAGCCUCUUGUUCCAUGUCCCUGUGCGAAAGUAUGGCAAGAAAACAAAUCGAGUGCGGUAUAUAAUUAAUCUCCCACCAAUCUCAUCUUUUUGUUAGCGCUGAAAUGUGUCUCAGUGAGCACAAAUUUAGUGUGAUGUUAUAGUGCCGUGUGGAUAUGAGGGCGUGAGGUGGGCGUGUGUCAGCCAAAGGAAGGGCAGCACAUUCGAAGACAGCCGAGGUGAUCCCACACCAGCUGAACAAAUCCUCGGCCUUUUGUCUUGUGGCGGCGGGCGAGUGAGGUUCCUUGUGUGUGCGUGCAUGGCGUCGCGGUUAGUGUAGUGAUACUGUGAUGGUGUGCGUUAGUUUAUCCUAUUGAAUGCGUCUUCCUCGCGUUGGAUUUGAUGCAUGUCGUGUCGCCACUCCCCUGCAUGCAAGACAACGCCACCACAGCUUCUGCCACUAAAUCAAAACCAAGCUGCAUUUUUACUCCAUCAUUCUUCACUCAGUACCCAGUGAUAUUUCUCAGUAAAAGUGAAGGAGUGGCGGUGAUUUAAUGCAGGAUGCGAAUGGACUUCCCUGUCACUUGUAGGAACUCGUCAUCUUGAAGGUCCCUCAACGCAUCCUCGUACAUCUCUCUUGUGAUCAUCUGUGGAGAGAAACGCCUUCUGGCCAUUGAGGGUGAGCACCUUGCCCUUGGACUGGAUCACCUUGCGUAGCAGCUGUGCCAUCUCCGUCCUCUUCUUGCGCGCCACUGAGCUCAGGCCAGUGAUGAGGAUGCUGACGUCAAUCUUGCCGGACAGCGGAUCAGUGGCCGACUGUUUGAGAGCCUCACGGUGGAGUCUGGGGUGGAGGAGGUAGUCUUUUAAUGGUUAGGUUAGUGUACUAACUACUUACUGUUACCCAAUAAUAAAUAAUGAAUGCUCAUGUACUGCAAAUAUACACAAAUUCAUAAAUUAGUCAAGGCAGCAAUCUCCAGCACUACAAAAUCCAUUCUUUGAAUGUUUUUAAAAAAGCAAAUAAAAAAAAAUAUUCAGAAUA